This 467-nucleotide ribosomal RNA is filed under the name uncultured bacterium. RNAcentral describes it as "partial 16S ribosomal RNA". It matches the Rfam family "Bacterial small subunit ribosomal RNA", at positions 28 to 506 of the family's 1533-position model. The record is from RNAcentral.
GACGAACGCUGGCGGCGUGCUUAACACAUGCAAGUCGAACGGAAAGGCCCUGCUUUUGUGGGGUUCUCGAGUGGCGAACGGGUGAGUAACACGUGAGUAACCUGCCCUUGACUUUGGGAUAACUUCAGGAAACUGGGGCUAAUACCGGAUAGGAGCUCCUGCUGCAUGGUGGGGGUUGAAAAGUUUCGGCGGUUGGGGAUGGACUCGCGGCUUAUCAGCUUGUUGGUGGGGUAGUGGCUUACCAAGGCUUUGACGGGUAGCCGGACUGAGAGGGUGACCGGCCACAUUGGGACUGAGAUACGGCCCAGACUGCUACGGGAGGCAGGAGUGGGGAAUAUUGCACAAUGGGCGGAAGCCUGAUGCAGAAACGCCGCGUGCGGGAUGACGGCCUUCGGGUUGUAAACCGCUUUCGCCUGUGACGAAGCGUGAGUGACGGUAAUGGGUAAAGAAGCACCGGCUAACUACGU